AAGAGAAUUAUAAAAUUUAGCUGCUAACUAAAUAAAGAGCAAAAAAUGUUCAUCUCUUA
Molecule: transfer RNA, 59 nt
Filed under: Macropsis ocellata
Lineage: Eukaryota; Metazoa; Arthropoda; Insecta; Hemiptera; Cicadellidae
Also listed under: 1 other name
Description: tRNA-Ser
Source: RNAcentral